AUACAGAGGGUGCAAGCGUUAAUCGGAAUUACUGGGCGUAAAGCGCGCGUAGGCGGUUUGUUAAGUCGGAUGUGAAAGCCCUAGGCUCAACCUGGGAACUGCAUUCGAUACUGGCAGACUAGAGUAUGGUAGAGGCAAGCGGAAUUCCUGGUGUAGCGGUGGAACGUGUAGAUAUCAGGAAGAACAUCGGUGGCGAAGGCGGCUUGCUGGGCCCUCGCUGACGCUGAGGCUCGAAAGCGUGGGGAGCGAACGGGAUUAGAUACCCCAGUAGUCC
RNAcentral lists this ribosomal RNA (274 nucleotides) under uncultured bacterium. RNAcentral describes it as "partial 16S ribosomal RNA". It matches the Rfam family "Bacterial small subunit ribosomal RNA", at positions 523 to 796 of the family's 1533-position model. The record is from RNAcentral.